GAUGAACGCUGGCGGCGUGCUUAACACAUGCAAGUCGAGCGAACAGGCCCGGCUUUUGCGGCGCUGUCGUGAGCGGCGGACGGGUGAGACACACGUGGAUAACCUACCUAUCUGAGUGAGAUCUCUUCGGGAAAGCGGAGCUAAUACCGGAUGAGAUCCUGAACCGCAUGGUGCAAUAGAGAAAUACGGGUUUUGGGUCAGUUUUAGAUGGAUCGGCGGCUUAUUAGGUAGUUGGUACGGUAAAGGCUUACCAAGGCAACGAUGGGUAGCCGGCACGAGAGGUGGACCGCCCACCAUGGGCCUGCGAGACGGCCCAGAAGCGUACGGGAGGCAGCAGGGGGGAACAUUGCACAAUGGGCGCGAGCCUGAGGCAGCGGCGCCGCGUGCGUGAUGACGGCCUUCGGGUGGUAAACCAAUUUCUAAUGAGAUGAAGCGGUAGUGACGGUACCUGAUCAAGAAGCACCGGCUAACUACGUG
RNAcentral lists this ribosomal RNA (477 nucleotides) under uncultured bacterium. RNAcentral describes it as "partial 16S ribosomal RNA". It matches the Rfam family "Bacterial small subunit ribosomal RNA", at positions 28 to 507 of the family's 1533-position model. The record is from RNAcentral.